Molecule: ribosomal RNA, 2387 nt
Filed under: Paraburkholderia sp. BL9I2N2
Lineage: Bacteria; Pseudomonadati; Pseudomonadota; Betaproteobacteria; Burkholderiales; Burkholderiaceae
Description: bacterial SSU rRNA
Rfam family: Bacterial small subunit ribosomal RNA (bases 869-2385)
Source: RNAcentral
CGCCCUUGCCCUUGGCCGUACGGCCCGAGGGCGCUUUGGCGGUGUAGGCGGCGGUUUCGUGUUGCGAAUCUUCGCGAUCAAAAGGGUUCACGUAUUCUCCUCUAGAGGCUUCGCUAUGAGACGCAAGACGCGACCGUCAGGCGUUUCGAGCAUGGCUCAACAUCACCUGAGUGACUCAACGCGGUUGUUUGGCUGUGCUCUGGGAGCAAAAAAGAUGAGCCCGCUCGAAGCGGGCCGAUAGAAAUGUGCGAAAUUCGCGCGGCUCGCAUUAUAUACGAGCUUGGGGCUUCGCGCUCAUCCUGUGCACAUCAUUUCAUCAUGCGCGUUUGUCGCAGGUUCGUCCUUGGGCCGCUGGUCGGGCGUAGAGCGGUCGCCGGUUCGAUGCAUCUAGGUGCGUGCACAUUCGCUGAUUUCAAGCUUCUCACUAUAGAGAGUUCGGUCGUCCUGACACGACGGGGUCGCGUUUGCACCACUCUCCCUAUAUAUAGGGGACGCCUGUUUCUGGCGUCGAUUGGCGUCUGGUCAAAAGAAAAUUCACAAAGGGGGUUGACGACGUGUCAGUCGUUCUCAUAAUCUCGUUUCUCUGCUGCUGAUGCAGCGACGCAGAACGAAGCGGUGCCGGGUGGUUGUGAGGUUGACGACGCGCGGCGCUGGUCCGGUGGUGAAUGCGUAACCGAUCUUUAAAAAUUAACAGCCGAUAAGUGUGGGCGCUUGAUGCGCGACGCGAGGUGGAUCUUUCGGGAUCUGCUGAACAAGCGAAAGUAUCAAGUCUCACACAGUAUUAGAGGAAGGUUUGAGCAAUCAAAUCAUCGUCAGUACGUUGAGUGAGCGACCGGUUCUUAAAUGAACCGAAAACAGUAACAGGUUUGAACUGAAGAGUUUGAUCCUGGCUCAGAUUGAACGCUGGCGGCAUGCCUUACACAUGCAAGUCGAACGGCAGCACGGGAGCAAUCCUGGUGGCGAGUGGCGAACGGGUGAGUAAUACAUCGGAACGUGUCCUGUAGUGGGGGAUAGCCCGGCGAAAGCCGGAUUAAUACCGCAUACGAUCUGUGGAUGAAAGCGGGGGAUCUUCGGACCUCGCGCUACAGGGGCGGCCGAUGGCAGAUUAGCUAGUUGGUGGGGUAAAGGCCUACCAAGGCGACGAUCUGUAGCUGGUCUGAGAGGACGACCAGCCACACUGGGACUGAGACACGGCCCAGACUCCUACGGGAGGCAGCAGUGGGGAAUUUUGGACAAUGGGCGAAAGCCUGAUCCAGCAAUGCCGCGUGUGUGAAGAAGGCCUUCGGGUUGUAAAGCACUUUUGUCCGGAAAGAAAACCUCGUGGUUAAUACCCGUGGGGGAUGACGGUACCGGAAGAAUAAGCACCGGCUAACUACGUGCCAGCAGCCGCGGUAAUACGUAGGGUGCAAGCGUUAAUCGGAAUUACUGGGCGUAAAGCGUGCGCAGGCGGUUCGCUAAGACAGAUGUGAAAUCCCCGGGCUUAACCUGGGAACUGCAUUUGUGACUGGCGGGCUAGAGUAUGGCAGAGGGGGGUAGAAUUCCACGUGUAGCAGUGAAAUGCGUAGAGAUGUGAGGAAUACCGAUGGCGAAGGCAGCCCCCUGGGCCAAUACUGACGCUCAUGCACGAAAGCGUGGGGAGCAAACAGGAUUAGAUACCCUGGUAGUCCACGCCCUAAAACGUUUUGUUGGGAUUCAUUCCUUAGUAACGUAGCUAACGCGUGAAGUUGACCGCCUGGGGAGUACGGUCGCAAGAUUAAAACUCAAAGGAAUUGACGGGGACCCGCACAAGCGGUGGAUGAUGUGGAUUAAUUCGAUGCAACGCGAAAAACCUUACCUACCCUUGACAUGUAUGGAACCUGGCUGAGAGGCCGGGGUGCCCGAAAGGGAGCCAUAACACAGGUGCUGCAUGGCUGUCGUCAGCUCGUGUCGUGAGAUGUUGGGUUAAGUCCCGCAACGAGCGCAACCCUUGUCCCUAGUUGCUACGCAAGAGCACUCUAGGGAGACUGCCGGUGACAAACCGGAGGAAGGUGGGGAUGACGUCAAGUCCUCAUGGCCCUUAUGGGUAGGGCUUCACACGUCAUACAAUGGUCGGAACAGAGGGUCGCCAACCCGCGAGGGGAGCCAAUCCCAGAAAACCGAUCGUAGUCCGGAUCGCACUCUGCAACUCGAGUGCGUGAAGCUGGAAUCGCUAGUAAUCGGGAUCAGCAUGCCGCGGUGAAUACGUUCCCGGUCUUGUACACACCGCCCGUCACACCAUGGGAGUGGGUUUUACCAGAAGUGGCUAGUCUAACCGCAAGGAGGACGGUCACCACGGUAGGAUUCAUGACUGGGGUGAAGUCGUAACAAGGUAGCCGUAUCGGAAGGUGCGGCUGGAUCACCUCCUUUCU